RNAcentral lists this ribosomal RNA (702 nucleotides) under Peritassa hatschbachii. RNAcentral describes it as "eukaryotic LSU rRNA". The stretch from base 277 to 432 matches the Rfam family "5.8S ribosomal RNA". Lineage: Eukaryota; Viridiplantae; Streptophyta; Magnoliopsida; Celastrales; Celastraceae. The record is from RNAcentral.
UUUCCGUAGGUGAACCUGCGGAAGGAUCAUUGUCGAAACCUGCAACGCAGAACGACCCGUGGACCGUUCAGAACUCUACUCGAUGGGCGGGCCAUCCCGCCCGUCGCUCGUUUGCCCCCGGGUGGGGUCGCGGGGUCCCAGGCCUCGCCCCCUCGCCUUGGGCGCAGACAACAAACCACGGCGCAAGUCGCGCCAAGGAACUAGGAAAAAAGGCGUGCUCCCUCGGUCCCGGAGACGGUGCACCGGGGAUGGCGUCGUCGUUAUCCAAUUCGAAACGACUCUCGGCAACGGAUAUCUCGGCUCUCGCAUCGAUGAAGAACGUAGCGAAAUGCGAUACUUGGUGUGAAUUGCAGAAUCCCGUGAACCAUCGAGUUUUUGAACGCAAGUUGCGCCCGAAGCCGUUCGGCCGAGGGCACGCCUGCCUGGGUGUCACGAAAUAUCGCCGAAACGUCCCUCCACCCCCCCUCGAGGGGGAAGCAUCGAGGGUUGGCGGAUGUUGGCCUCCCGCGCGCACUCGCCGACGGUUGGCCUAAACGAGAGUCCCCCGACGAGGUGGCCACGACAAGCGGUGGUUGAAGGCACGUCCUCUCCUCGAACGCCGUCGUGUGCGAGCCUCGUCGGAGGGAGAAGCCGGAGGCCCCGACGCGGAGCGUCUCUCACGUAGCGACCCCAGGUCAGGCGGGAACACCCGCUGAGUUUAAG